CUUAGACCAUGUAGUAUAGAAUGUCAGCUGGGGAUGGGCCUUAGGACACAGAACCUAGAACUUCAGAGCAGAGAAGGACUUUGGAACCUAGAAUCUGGAAUGUCAGAGGAGAAGGGAUCUCAGGAUAUAGAACCUAAAAGGAGAGGGAAUCACACUGGGAGGGCCGGUAAGCUGCAGAGCGCAGAACAUUAGAGCUGGGAGAUGUGUGCUCUCUAGGCAGGGGAGGGGAGGAAGCCUCUCUCCUGAGAAGGUGUCCUGGGGGGACAGUGUGAUGUGGGGCUGUGCCUUGCAGCAGGAGCCUAGCCACCUGUCCUCUCCCGUUCUAGCCGGUUUAGACUGGAGCUAAAUGGCACCUCCAGCUGUCCUCAGCCUUCAUCCAGAAGACUCUGCUCAGCCCUGUUCCCAUCCAUCACUUGCUGUGGCAGCCGGCAGGCUGGGGCCGGAGGCUUCCCAAAGAGGAAGGGAAUGUGGAGACCCUAGGACAGCUGGGUAUGCUGUCACCAGGCUGGGGCCCCCGAAGAAAAAACUUGUGAGCUGCAAAACUACUGCCCAUGAGCAAAUGCAACUCAGCAGCCUGAAAAAGGAAACCCCAGGCUCCUGGGACUUCCAGAAAUCGGCAUUGGCUUUGGCAAGAGAGCCAAACCACUUGAGUCCCCCAGGGAGUCUGGGGUUGGCCUGGUUACAUAGGAGCCAGCUGGGACAAGAAGCUGGGAGUUUGGGAGGAUGGGGGAACUUGCAUACCAGCCAGGCAGGCAGCUCAAGAGAGUGCGUGAUUGCCAGGGGCCCUGUGGUGAGCCAGGGUCCUUAGGCAGAGGAAGUGGGUUCGAAUUGCCACUCUGACUUGUUUCUUAUCUCUGUACCCGAAGGGCUAGGACGAUGCACUUAAUAAAUGUGGGUGAAUUGGAUUGGGUGCCUCUCUG
Molecule: long non-coding RNA, 920 nt
Filed under: Phascolarctos cinereus (koala)
Lineage: Eukaryota; Metazoa; Chordata; Mammalia; Diprotodontia; Phascolarctidae
Description: lncRNA (ENSPCIG00000027045.2)
Source: RNAcentral